GCCCAUUGGUUGAGACGCAGGAGCCAAUGAGAAGGCGUGAUGUUGACGGGGUCCUAAGAUGGCUGCUGGGCGACCGCUUCCUGACAGCUCCAGUUAAUGGGACUGCCAGCAGGCUAGACAUCCUUCGCCGGGAUCUGCAGCGCUUAGUUCUGUGCCCGGGAGGGGCUUCUCUCUGUUUUGGGAUUGGAGUGUGGCAUUGCCGCCAGAAAGCCUGCAGAAUUCCGGGUUGUGCAGCCAAGCAGGAACGGUGUACCUUUCUAGACCCAUCGUCUUGCAAUCUUGGACCCUAAGAAAAGAUGUGGAGUGGGCUGCUACCUCCUGGCCUAAAUGAAAGUGAUGCUGAGUCAAACUCGGAAGAUGAAGCUACGUUGGAGAACUCUGGACUUAACUUACAGGAAGAUAAAGAGGAUGAGAGCAUCAGAAAAACAGAAAUCAUAGAUUUCUCAACAGAUGAACCAAAAACUGAAACAGAGUCAAAUGUAAAUGCCUAUGAAGAGUGUCCUUCUGGAAUUCCCAUAGAUAUGUGGAAUAAAUUUCAAGAAUUGCAUAAAAAACAUUCCGAACAGAAAAGCACAACCUCAAGAUUCAGAGGGAAAAGAAGAAAACGCUCCAGAAAAGAUAAAUUGAAGAAUGAAAAAGAAUUUCAUAGUGAACCGUCCUCAAAUGAAACCCAGUGGAAAGAGCUUACUCAGUAUUUUGGAGUCAAUGAUAGAUUUGACCCGCCUGUUAAAAGGAAAAAAGUUGAGAAGUCAGGCCUUGAAAAGAGGAUAGACCAGGCUGUGGAGGAGUGGAAUAUUGAGAAGGCUGAGGAACUCAGCAACCAGCUAGCUACUCGAGAGGAUCACAGGACUCAACAAGCUGGUGUCCUAUUGCUGUUGCUUGUCCAGUCUUCCUUUUGGAAGAUCCCAGAGUUGCGUAUUGUGUGAUCUCUUCCAAGUAGCAAGUGACUGACCAACAGAAUCCCCCAAGUCAGUCAGUUUCCUCAGAUUUUGCUUUGCUAAAGGAAGAAAAGGAAAAUCAUGGGAGUAAUGUUGUGUGUUUCUCAGUGUCAGCAAUCCAGAGACUCGUGCUGUCUCUUUGUCCCUUGCCUGAUGGUGUUACUUCGAUUAACUACUUCAGCUUGGUGUAAAAAUUGCCAAAGCAGUUGCCUGCCACAACUUUGUAAAAGCCAAAAAGGAGGUUGAAAAUUCACAGGCUGCCCGAAAAAAGAAGAAACUUGCAUGGGGGUUUGAAGCAAAGAAGAGAUGGGAAACCAAAAGCAACAUGGGAUACAUGUAACUUGCCAGAGUGCUUCAAGACAUUUGUAGACUCAAAUGCUCAAUUUACUGAGAAUGUUUUCCUGCCUAUGUUAAUAUGUCAGAAAAUUGAUAGCACUAAAACAAAAAUAAGCAUAAAAUUUGGGAUUUUGAUUAUCAGCUCUUUUCAGUCUUUCUUUAAGGACUUUGUCCUAUUGAAGUCAAUAAAAUGAAGCAUUCUGUUAUUUGUAUAAGAAAUGUAAGAAAAAAAUAUAGAAAGAAGAGGAUAGGAUUUUGUUUAUUUGUAUGGAUGGACCCUCGGUAUAAAAUCACUUUUGGUGCUUUCCAUUCAUUUGGUUUAGCACAGCCAGUGAGCUUCUCGUACUUUCUUUUUUUUUUUUUUUUUUUUUUUUUUGAGACAGAGCCUCGCUUGCUCUGUCACCCAGGCUAGAGUGCAGUAGCACGAUCUUGGCUCACUGCAACCACUGCUUCCUGGGUUCAAGUGAUUCUCAUGCCUCAGCCUCCUGAGUAGCUGGGAUUAUGGGCAAAUGCCACCACACCCGGCUAAUUUUUUUUUUUUUUUUUUUGUAUUUUUAGUAGAGACAGAGUUUUGCUGUGUUGGUCAGGCUGGUCUUGAACUCCUGGCCUCAUAUGAUUCACCUGCCUCUGCCUCCCAAAGUUCUGGGAGUACAGGCAUGAGCUACCAUGCUGCCCUUGUAUUUUCUUAUCUGUACCCAGUGUAACUACACGUUUACUGGAACUGUGUUUUUAAGACUGACAGUUGUUUAUAAUGGAUUAGUCGUAAGUGCCAAAAAGUCUCAGUUGAUAUUAUCUUUACAAAUGACUUGACCUUAAUGUUAUAAAAGUAGUUACUGUUUUUUUUAAUUGGAGGCAGACUUGAUAUUUCAGAAUUGCAUAGUAAAAGCAAUUUGUUAAUUUUUGUGUACUUUCAGAUAAACUAUUACAAUAAAGAAAGGAGCAGAAUGUA
RNA transcript from Pan troglodytes (chimpanzee), 2223 nucleotides. It is a transcript of the gene named family with sequence similarity 204 member A, with no coding region annotated. The transcript is spliced from 11 exons. Lineage: Eukaryota; Metazoa; Chordata; Mammalia; Primates; Hominidae. The record is from RefSeq and is a predicted model, not a curated record.